RNAcentral lists this ribosomal RNA (253 nucleotides) under uncultured bacterium. RNAcentral describes it as "partial 16S ribosomal RNA". It matches the Rfam family "Bacterial small subunit ribosomal RNA", at positions 524 to 776 of the family's 1533-position model. The record is from RNAcentral.
GACGAACCGUGCGACCGUUGUUCGGAUUCACUGGGCUUAAAGGGCGCGUAGGCGGGCGACCAAGUCUGGGGUGAAAUCUUUCGGCCCAACCGGAAAAGUGCCCCUGAUACUGGCCGCCUCGAGGGGGGUAGGGGCAUGCGGAACUUCCGGUGGAGCGGUGAAAUGCGUAGAUAUCGGAAGGAACGCCGGUGGCGAAAGCGGCGUGCUGGACCCCUUCUGACGCUGAGGCGCGAAAGCCAGGGGAGCAAACGGG